This 4364-nucleotide long non-coding RNA is filed under the name Homo sapiens (human). Its description in RNAcentral is "HSALNT0321545". Lineage: Eukaryota; Metazoa; Chordata; Mammalia; Primates; Hominidae. The record is from RNAcentral.
CUUUUUGGCUGUGAUAAUUUUCCAACAGUUUUAAAAUAAAAUGAAUAACUUCAUGGGAUCUGUACAUUAUAUACACCAAGUUUUAACUCACAUUUUUUUGUGUGUGUGCCAAGAAGCCACUGAAGUAGGUUGAGGGGAAAAUAAACAUUGAAAAACCUAUGUAGUUAAUGAAGAAAGCACCAAGAGGUUAUUCUUAAUGUUUGCUUAGCCUCUUGUACUCUGACUUAGUAUUGUGAGUACUAAACCUUAGCCAUAGUAUUAAACCUCCUACUAUUUUUUUUUCAUAGUUCCAGAAAAAACUAUUAUUUGCGUUCCUAUUUAAUAGUUCCUAAGAAUCUGGGCGUUGCCAGAUCAUCUUUGAGACAAUUCUGAUUGGCCCCACUAAGAGCAAGCCGCUGUGUAAAAAUAGCAACUGCUGGGAGAUAUUCCCAAGACAAAGUCAAAGCUGCCAAUCAACUCCAGCCCUGGGCAUCCACUCCACUUCCACAAGGACGCUAUGCUGGUGAAGUUCUCUGUGGAAUGGAAGACUGAACUAGCUAUUGGACUGGGAUUUACAUUAUUGGCUGCCUUCAUUUUUGGAUCUUUGACGCAGACUAAAUUAUACCACUGGCUUUCCUGGAUCUCCAGUUUGCAGACAGCAGAUUGUGGGACUUUUCAGCCUCCAUAAUCAUGACCAGUCUGUAUUGGACACCAGUGACAUGAGGCCAUUCACCAACCUUGAGGAGAGUUCCAGCCCUCAGCAGACACCCAGGAGACUCUGUUCUCAAUACUCUGUACUAACAACUUGACACAAUGCCAAUACAACCUCAUGAUUAAGAGAAACCAGGCAUGACUCAAUAAACUUUGAUUGUUUGGGACAUCUGCCUCAGUCACUCAUUUUGGUUGUCAGCAUGGACUCUAGAUCAGACCAAGUUGACCUCCCUUCUUCACCAUUAACUGCUUUGAGAUAAGAAGCUACAGCAUCUGUCAAGAGCCGUAUGUAGCUUGAGAUGACUACCUGAAGAUGUAUCAUGGUAUCAGCUGGUUAGUUAAGAAGUCGUUUUCCAGCUUCAACUGGCAAGUAACAAGCCAAGCAAGAAUUUCAAUGGAAAAUUACAGAGAUACUAACAGGUUUGAGUACUUAUGAAUACAAAAUAAAUAAACGGAUUUAAAUUACUUUAUUAUUACAAUGCAGAAAUGAGGAAGUGUAAUAGCCAGCUAGUCUUGGAACAUGGCACUGUGAAUGAAAUGAUUAAUUGCAUAUUCAUCUGGUCUCAGAUACAGGACAUUCUCUUGCAUAGGUUAAAUGUAUUAAUGGUAGAGAAUUAUGCAAAAAAUACUCAUUUUCUCCAAUACCAGAACAUACAGGAAGCAAGUAAAGUGAGUGCCUUUUUACCAAUAGUACCAGUAGAUAAGAAGAUAAGAUACAGAUAAUAAAGCACAGAGCAUUGCACAGAUCUACACCAAUGGAUUGGAAUGGAAUGUAGGAUUCUCUUCUUGCUGUGGACACCAUCAAAAUGUGAGAUCACUUCUCUGCUCAAUAGGACAAUCAUACUGAUUCCUUAGGAAGACAUAUAGGAAUCAGUAGAGGGAGAUCCUACCCUGGAAUCGUUUGAUGUCCUUGGGUUAUCUUCCUCUACAAAAAGGGCUAGUUGAAAUAAUGACAUGUGGGAGAUCAGCACUCCAAGUCAAAAUUGCAAAACAGAAGAAAAUUCCAGAAUUAUAUCACUGUUAACAGAUAAACCUUGCAGUGUACCCAGUUGGAUUUCAGAACAUUGAAGAGCAGCAGCUUUUAUGGGAAUAAGAGUGUCCCUUACAGGUAAUCUCCUCGACAUUUAUAUUGGGUGAGUCACAGUCAGAAAAUAUCUUAGUUUGUAACUUUGAGGAUGAAGAGUAGGUGUAUUCAAGGAGCUACCUUCUUGAACACAAUUGAAGGUCAUGAAAUUCUGAACUUCAAGGUUGAUACCAUGAUUUCAUGAGACUUUUGAAAGUCCUAGGAUGGCAAUGAGAAUAUCUUUUAUGUGGAAAAAUUGUGGGUAAUUUGUGGCCAGAGGUUGGACUGUGGUAGAUUCGAAAAGUGGUUGCAAAAGUUUUCCAUUCUUGUUUCAUGUCCUUCAGUCAUGACUUCUCCUAGUGACUUUAAGAUUAUCGAUGUGAUUUGCUUUGCCUAUGAGGCAAUAAGCAAAUGUGACACAAGCAGAGGCUUAAAAAUGCGUAUGCUUUAGGAGAGGUUAGCUGUUGCUCUUGGGAAACACAGAACCAUAUAAAGCUGCUAACCUUCUGGCAGAUGAGAAUCAUCACGGAGCAGAGAUGAGGCUAAACAGCUGAGGCUUCUCUAAAAAACAAAACAAACAAACAAACAAACAAAAGCAGUGCACUUCUCAGGUGAUUGGCAUCGGAUAGCAGAAGCAUCGGUGAGUCAGCUGAGGUACAUAGAAGAAAUGCCUACCUGAGCCAACCCAAAUUGCCAACCCACAAAAAUCUGAAACCAAAUAAAUUGUUUAAAACUACUAGGUUUGAGAGUAUUUUGUUACAAAGCAGGUUAACCAAGGCAAUUAAAUGUAAAAGGUAUACUAAAUGAAUAAUUUUAUAAACAUUAAGCCAUAAUGACAUCAAAUUGAUUUUGAAGUUCAUUAAUGCAUACAGUCCUCAAACUGCUUUAUUCAUUGUAUACUGUAAUGUUUCACAUUUAAUUUCUGUAUCUAUUCCACUAAAGUUUAGUUUUUACUUGAGAAGACAAAAAUAUUAUUAUAGGAAAUUUUAUAUCAUACUCAUAAUUUGAUUUGUGAAAAUAAAUAAAAUUCAAAUAAUGUUGAUUUCUGUUAAUGAUGCUGAUUGCUUAUUAGAUCCUACACAUAUAAGUGAAUCAUUUGCCCAUAAAUAUUAUAGAUUAUUAUCAUAACAAGUAUUGAAUAACCUAUACUUCUCAUUUUGAAGAAGUGUAUUCUAUCUUUAAUCAGUUGUGCCUAAAUUUAAAUGUGUAUACAUUUAAGAAUUUUAUCAAAAAAUGUCUUUAAAAAAUCAAAAACAUCAUCAAACUGCCAAAAAUAGAAAAGCUGGGGUAGAGAAGUGAAACUAUUGCUCAGUGAUACAGUCCCUUUUUGUGCCAGCAACAGCUGGGCAAUCAACUUUCAUUUAUAACUAUCUACCGUAAGCAGCUUGCCCGUGGCCAAGUCAAUCAUUAUAGAAUCUAAUGGUACAUCAAUUUUCUUCCAAGAUUUAAUUUGGCACACAGGGUUUUGAAAAAGAAGACUAUCAUAAAAUAUUGCUACAACUCCAGAAUCUAAUAUCUUACUUGUGUUUUGACCCCAUUAGAUAAAAUAAAUUGAAAUCCUUUCAUUAAUGUGUUAACAGAGUCAUUUUAAAAUUGAAUUUUCAUAGUGAUCUCCUUGAAAUUGCUUAUAAAGAACUAAGUUAUGUUGCUAAGGUUCUUAUGCAAAUUUUAAACAGAUAAUAUACCUUUUUGUCUCACAACCAUAACACAUCAAUGCAAGGUUCUGUGUUAACCAAUUUCUUACCAACAAAAUAAUUUUUAAUUUGAUUGUUCUUGGUUUGAAGAUUUGCUACUUCUCUUGUUUAAUUUGUGCAGAAUAAAUUUUAUUAGAGUCUUUUACAGAUAUCUUAUGACAGUAGGGAGUACAUGUGAUCAUAUUUUAUAAAUAUUUUCAAGUUGGUAUCAUGCCUAAAUAUCCUAAGUAGUGAUUUGUGAAUAAUGGCAAAUUAAAAUGAAUUAAUGAGAAGUUUGUUAAAAAUGCAGAUGCUCAAAAGAUUAUAUUGCUAGCAGUGUACGGCUAAGUAGAAGUUAAGUGUUCCAGGAUUUGUGAACCAUCAUUUUAAGGACUGAACUGAUGAUGAAAUCACUUAAGUGAAUAUAUUAGCUACUAUACAAAAGAAAAAAUAAAAAAAGUACUUUUUAGAUAACAGAUAACAGCAAAAUGAAGCAUAUUGCAAUAAUACUUUAUCUAUAAUUCUGGAAACAUAAUUUUUAGUUCUUAGGAAUCAUAGGAAUUAGGAUAUAAUAAACAUAAAAAUGAGCUCAAAGAUACAAGUCCAAAAUACAAAUUUUUGUUCUUUUCCUCCUUCCCUAUAUGAAUCAGAAUUUGAGGAGGUGUCAUAGAAAUCUGGAUUUUUAGCAAGCCCAGAAGUUAAUUGUAUAAAUGGUUCUCAAAGCAGUACCAUUUUGCUGAUGUACUUACCAUUGCUUACUAAUCCCCACUCUUUGACAGGCAUUGCAUUCAAGUGCCUUUCAAUUUUGUUUAUUUAACUGCUUAAAACUAUUAUGUUGUAGAUAUUCUUGCGCCUAUGUUACAAGGGUAAGAAAAUGAUUAAAUAAUCAUCUAAAGUCAAAAAAAUAAUAAAAAUAAAGCCAGGAAGCAACUCAGAUC